This 848-nucleotide ribosomal RNA is filed under the name Paraburkholderia sp. Its description in RNAcentral is "bacterial SSU rRNA". It matches the Rfam family "Bacterial small subunit ribosomal RNA", at positions 23 to 869 of the family's 1533-position model. The record is from RNAcentral. Lineage: Bacteria; Pseudomonadati; Pseudomonadota; Betaproteobacteria; Burkholderiales; Burkholderiaceae.
GUCAGAUGAACGCUGGCGGCAUGCCUUACACAUGCAAGUCGAACGGCAGCACGGGGGCAACCCUGGUGGCGAGUGGCGAACGGGUGAGUAAUACAUCGGAACGUGUCCUGUAGUGGGGGAUAGCCCGGCGAAAGCCGGAUUAAUACCGCAUACGCUCUACGGAGGAAAGGGGGGGAUCUUAGGACCUCCCGCUACAGGGGCGGCCGAUGGCAGAUUAGCUAGUUGGUGGGGUAAAGGCCUACCAAGGCGACGAUCUGUAGCUGGUCUGAGAGGACGACCAGCCACACUGGGACUGAGACACGGCCCAGACUCCUACGGGAGGCAGCAGUGGGGAAUUUUGGACAAUGGGGGAAACCCUGAUCCAGCAAUGCCGCGUGUGUGAAGAAGGCCUUCGGGUUGUAAAGCACUUUUGUCCGGAAAGAAAACCUCUGGGUUAAUACCCCGGGGGGAUGACGGUACCGGAAGAAUAAGCACCGGCUAACUACGUGCCAGCAGCCGCGGUAAUACGUAGGGUGCAAGCGUUAAUCGGAAUUACUGGGCGUAAAGCGUGCGCAGGCGGUCCGCUAAGACAGAUGUGAAAUCCCCGGGCUUAACCUGGGAACUGCAUUUGUGACUGGCGGGCUAGAGUAUGGCAGAGGGGGGUAGAAUUCCACGUGUAGCAGUGAAAUGCGUAGAGAUGUGGAGGAAUACCGAUGGCGAAGGCAGCCCCCUGGGCCAAUACUGACGCUCAUGCACGAAAGCGUGGGGAGCAAACAGGAUUAGAUACCCUGGUAGUCCACGCCCUAAACGAUGUCAACUAGUUGUCGGGUCUUCAUUGACUUGGUAACGUAGCUAACGCGUGAAGUGAC